CAGUCGCCGCGGUAAUACGUAGGGUGCAAGCGUUAAUCGGAAUUACUGGGCGUAAUGCGUGCGCAGGCGGUUCGUUAAGACAGAUGUGAAAUCCCCGGGCUUAACCUGGGAACUGCAUUUGUGACUGGCGGGCUAGAGUAUGGCAGAGGGGGGUAGAAUUCCACGUGUAGCAGUGAAAUGCGUAGAGAUGUGGAGGAAUACCGAUGGCGAAGGCAGCCCCCUGGGCCAAUACUGACGCUCAUGCACGAAAGCGUGGGGAGCAAACAGGAUUAGAUACCCGCGUAGUCCCUGUCUCUUAUAC
Molecule: ribosomal RNA, 301 nt
Filed under: uncultured bacterium
Lineage: Bacteria
Description: partial 16S ribosomal RNA
Rfam family: Bacterial small subunit ribosomal RNA
Source: RNAcentral